This 500-nucleotide ribosomal RNA is filed under the name uncultured bacterium. Its description in RNAcentral is "partial 16S ribosomal RNA". It matches the Rfam family "Bacterial small subunit ribosomal RNA", at positions 30 to 523 of the family's 1533-position model. The record is from RNAcentral.
AUUGAACGCUGGCGGCAUGCUUUACACAUGCAAGUCGAACGGUAACAGGGUGCUUGCACCGCUGACGAGUGGCGAACGGGUGAGUAAUGCGUCGGAACGUGCCGAGUAGUGGGGGAUAACGCAGCGAAAGUUGUGCUAAUACCGCAUACGUACUGAGGUAGAAAGUGGGGGACCUUCGGGCCUCACGCUAUUCGAGCGGCCGACGUCUGAUUAGCUAGUAGGUGAGGUAAAGGCUCACCUAGGCGACGAUCAGUAGCGGGUCUGAGAGGAUGAUCCGCCACACUGGGACUGAGACACGGCCCAGACUCCGACGGGAGGCAGCAGUGGGGAAUUUUGGACAAUGGGCGAAAGCCUGAUCCAGCCAUGCCGCGUGUCUGAAGAAGGCCUUCGGGUUGUAAAGGACUUUUGUCAAGUAGGAAAUCCCUAGUGCUAAUAACACUGGGGGAUGACAGUACCUGAAGAAUAAGCACCGGCUAACUACGUGCCAGCAGCCGCAGUAA